CAGUCGCCGCGGGAAUACGAAGGGGGCUAGCGUUGUUCGGAAUUACUGGGCGUAAAGCGCACGCAGGCGGCUCGAUAAAUUAGAAGUGAAAGCCUUGGGCUUAACCUGAGAAUUGCUUUUAAGACUGUCGAGCUAGAAUCCAGAAGAGGGUAGCGGAAUUCCGAGUGUAGAGGUGAAAUUCGUAGAUAUUCGGAAGAACACCAGUGGCGAAGGCGACUACCUGGUCUGGCAUUGACGCUCAUGUGCGAAAGCGUGUGGAGCAAACAGGAUUAGAUACCCCAGUAGUCCCUGUCUCUUAUAC
Molecule: ribosomal RNA, 301 nt
Filed under: uncultured bacterium
Lineage: Bacteria
Description: partial 16S ribosomal RNA
Rfam family: Bacterial small subunit ribosomal RNA
Source: RNAcentral